CCUGGCGACCACAGCGUGCGGGAACCACCCGAUCCCAUCCCGAACUCGACCGUGAAACCGCUCCGCGCCCAUGAUCGUGCGAGAUCCACUCGCGCUAAAGUCGGUCAUCGCCAGGC
Molecule: ribosomal RNA, 116 nt
Filed under: Candidatus Competibacteraceae bacterium
Lineage: Bacteria; Pseudomonadati; Pseudomonadota; Gammaproteobacteria; Candidatus Competibacteraceae
Source: RNAcentral